This 273-nucleotide ribosomal RNA is filed under the name uncultured bacterium. RNAcentral describes it as "partial 16S ribosomal RNA". It matches the Rfam family "Bacterial small subunit ribosomal RNA", at positions 524 to 796 of the family's 1533-position model. The record is from RNAcentral.
UACGGAGGGGGCGAGCGUUGUCCGAAGUUACUGGGCGUAAAGCGCGCGUAGGCGGGUUGGCAAGUCCGCUGUGAAAGCCUGGGGCUUAACCCCAGCGGGUCGGUGGAUACUGCCAGUCUUGAAGGCGUUAGGGGGAGAUGGAAUUACCGGUGUAGCGGUGAAAUGCGUAGAUAUCGGUAGGAACACCAGUGGCGAAGGCGGUCUCCUGGGACGUUCUUGACGCUGAGGCGCGAAAGCUGGGGGAGCGAACGGGAUUAGAAACCCCAGUAGUCC